ACAAUGAACCAGUUCAGAAGCCACUUGAACCACGACCUCCUCCACUGCCCAUUAAAAACCCAAAACCUCAUCUUGUUCGCAUGCCUGAAACAAUGGAUGCCAUGUCUUUGUCAGAUUCCUUUGAGGUGAUGACACCCUGGACAAAUGUGUGCAGAGAUCUGACGUUUAGAGGAUCAGAAGAGGCAGUGUAAGUCGUUA
Austrofundulus limnaeus is the source of this 198-nucleotide long non-coding RNA. RefSeq lists it as uncharacterized. NCBI's taxonomy places the organism in Eukaryota, Metazoa, Chordata, Actinopteri, Cyprinodontiformes, Rivulidae. The record is from RefSeq and is a predicted model, not a curated record. The transcript has 3 exons.